This 459-nucleotide ribosomal RNA is filed under the name uncultured bacterium. RNAcentral's name for it is "partial 16S ribosomal RNA". It matches the Rfam family "Bacterial small subunit ribosomal RNA", at positions 338 to 795 of the family's 1533-position model. The record is from RNAcentral.
CCUACGGGAUGCAGCAGUGAGGAAUAUUGGUCAAUGGUCGGGAGACUGAACCAGCCAAGCCGCGUGAGGGAUGAAGGUACAGAGUAUCGUAAACCUCUUUUGUCAGGGAACAAAGGCGGGGACGUGUCCCCGGAUGAGUGUACCUGAAGAAAAAGCAUCGGCUAACUCCGUGCCAGCAGCCGCGGUAAUACGGAGGAUGCGAGCGUUAUCCGGAUUUAUUGGGUUUAAGGGGUACGCAGGCGGUCUGUUAAGUCAGCGGGAAAAGCCCGGGGCGAAACCCCGGCCCGCCGUUGAAACUGGCAGUCUCGAGUUGGAGAGAAGUAUGCGGAAUGCGCGGUGUAGCGGUGAAAUGCAUAGAUAUCGCGCAGAACUCCGAUUGCGAAGGCAGCAUGCCGGCUCCACACUGACGCUGAGGCACGAAAGCGUGGGUAUCGAACAGGAUUAGAUACCCGUGUAGUC